GGGAUUGCCUCAGUAACGGCGAGUGAAGCGGCAACAGCUCAAAUUUGAAAUCUGGCCUUCUGGCCCGAGUUGUAAUUUGUAGAGGAUGCUUCGAGUGUGGUCUGGUCUAAGUUCCUUGGAAUAGGACGUCAUAGAGGGUGAGAAUCCCGUAUGCGACUGGGUGCCUAAGCUCAUGUGAAGCUCCUUCGACGAGUCGAGUUGUUUGGGAAUGCAGCUCAAAAUGGGUGGUAAAUUUCAUCUAAAGCUAAAUAUUGGCCAGAGACCGAUAGCGCACAAGUAGAGUGAUCGAAAGAUGAAAAGCACUUUGGAAAGAGAGUUAAAUAGUACGUGAAAUUGUUGAAAGGGAAGCGCUUGCAAUCAGACUUGCACGCAGUUGAUCAUCCGAUGUUCUCACCGGUGCACUCGACUGCGUUCAGGCCAGCAUCAGUUUCGGUGGUUGGAUAAAGGCCAAGGGAAUGUGGCUUCCUUCGGGGAGUGUUAUAGCCCAUGGUGCAAUGCAGCCUACCGGGACUGAGGACCGCGCUUCGGCUAGGAUGCUGGCGUAAUGGUUGUAAGCGACCCGUCUUGAAACACGGACCAAGGAGUGGAACAUUUUUGCGAGUGUUUGGGUGCAAAACCCAUACGCGUAAUGAAAGUGAACGGAGGUGAGAACCCUUAAGGGUGCAUCAUCGACCGAUCCUGAUGUCUUCGGAUGGAUUUGAGUAAGAGCAAAACUGUUCCGACCCGAAAGAUGGUGAUCUAUACGUGAAUAGGGUGAAGCCAGAGGAAACUCUGGUGGAGGCUCGCAGCGGUUCUGACGUGCAAAUCGAUCGUCAAAUUUGCGUAUAGGGGCGAAAGACUAAUCGAACCAUCUA
Molecule: ribosomal RNA, 854 nt
Filed under: Leotiomycetes sp.
Lineage: Eukaryota; Fungi; Ascomycota; Leotiomycetes
Description: partial large subunit ribosomal RNA
Rfam family: Eukaryotic large subunit ribosomal RNA
Source: RNAcentral